UCGAGAAUUUUUCACAAUGGGCGCAAGCCUGAUGGAGCGACGCCGCGUGGGGGAUGAAUGGCUUCGGCCCGUAAACCCCUGUCAUUUGCGAUCAAACCUUGCUAUUUAAAAGAUGGCGAGCUGAUAGUAGCGAAAGAGGAAGGGACGGCUAACUCUGUGCCAGCAGCCGCGGUAAUAAAGAGGUCCCAAGCGUUGUUCGGAUUCACUGGGCGUAAAGGGUGCGUAGGUGGUGGGGUAAGUCGGAUGUGAAAUCUCGGAGCUCAACGCCGAAAUGGCAUUGGAAACUACCCUGCUAGAGGGUCGGAGGGGGGACUGGAAUUCGCGGUGUAGCAGUGAAAUGCGUAGAUAUCGAGAGGAACACCAGUGGCGAAGGCGAGUCCCUGGACGACUCCUGACACUGAGGCACGAAAGCUAGGGGAGCAAAC
This 425-nucleotide ribosomal RNA is filed under the name uncultured bacterium. RNAcentral describes it as "bacterial SSU rRNA". It matches the Rfam family "Bacterial small subunit ribosomal RNA", at positions 355 to 773 of the family's 1533-position model. The record is from RNAcentral.